RNAcentral lists this long non-coding RNA (246 nucleotides) under Pelobates cultripes (western spadefoot toad). Lineage: Eukaryota; Metazoa; Chordata; Amphibia; Anura; Pelobatidae. The record is from RNAcentral.
GCCAGCUCUUCCGCUGGGGGGCUUGGGACAUAGUCCGGCUCAGUAGCCAGGGGAACGUGGGGAUCAGUGGGGGUUAACAUCUCCCCUGUUAACCCUGGGGCCAAGUUAAGAGUUAGCUGGGGAGGGGAAUUCGUACUUACCCCCUCCUCCUGUUGUCCCUGUGAGGGUAGUUGGGGAUCUGGACAGGCUGUCCAGCAUCCCUGUAGGUCGGGCACAGAGACCACGGUCCCCUCUGCGCCAUCUGGG